Molecule: ribosomal RNA, 302 nt
Filed under: uncultured bacterium
Lineage: Bacteria
Description: partial 16S ribosomal RNA
Rfam family: Bacterial small subunit ribosomal RNA
Source: RNAcentral
GCAGUCGCCACGGUAAUACAGAGGGUGCAAGCGUUAAUCGGAAUUACUGGGCGUAAAGCGCGCGUAGGUGGUUUGUUAAGUUGGAUGUGAAAGCCCCGGGCUCAACCUGGGAACUGCAUCCAAAACUGGCAAGCUAGAGUACGGUAGAGGGUGGUGGAAUUUCCUGUGUAGCGGUGAAAUGCGUAGAUAUAGGAAGGAACACCAGUGGCGAAGGCGACCACCUGGACUGAUACUGACACUGAGGUGCGAAAGCGUGGGGAGCAAACAGGAUUAGAUACCCCGGUAGUCCCUGUCUCUUAUAC